GCGGGAGUAGCUCAGUUGGUAGAGCGCAACCUUGCCAAGGUUGAGGUCGCGAGU
Molecule: transfer RNA, 54 nt
Filed under: Burkholderia pseudomallei 1258b
Lineage: Bacteria; Pseudomonadati; Pseudomonadota; Betaproteobacteria; Burkholderiales; Burkholderiaceae
Description: partial tRNA-Gly
Rfam family: tRNA
About the family: Transfer RNA (tRNA) molecules are approximately 80 nucleotides in length.
Source: RNAcentral